UACGGAGGGUGCAAGCGUUAUCCGGAAUCACUGGGUUUAAAGGGUGCGUAGGCGGCUUUAUAAGUCUGUUGUGAAAGCCAUCGGCUUAACCGAUCGAAUUGCAAUGGAUACUGUAAAGCUUGAAUCAGGUUGAGGCAGGCGGAAUGCGACAUGUAGCGGUGAAAUGCUUAGAUAUGUCGUAGAACACCAAUUGCGAAGGCAGCUUGCUGGACCUUGAUUGACGCUGAGGCACGAAAGCGUGGGGAGCAAACAGG
This 254-nucleotide ribosomal RNA is filed under the name uncultured bacterium. RNAcentral describes it as "partial 16S ribosomal RNA". It matches the Rfam family "Bacterial small subunit ribosomal RNA", at positions 524 to 776 of the family's 1533-position model. The record is from RNAcentral.